RNAcentral lists this long non-coding RNA (1424 nucleotides) under Canis lupus familiaris (dog). RNAcentral describes it as "lncRNA (ENSCAFG00030016716.1)". The record is from RNAcentral. Lineage: Eukaryota; Metazoa; Chordata; Mammalia; Carnivora; Canidae.
UUAGGAAUGCUUUAUGUGUAGGACUGGGGGAUGGCCGGUUCAUUCGUUAUUUAUUACCUUAUUCUUUCAUUUUUCCAACAUUUUCUGAGUACCUUCCGUGGGCUGGGUUGAGCGGGGUGCUGGAGACACAAGGCGGAGUGAGGCAGCCCUGCCUGCGUGUGGGGACAGGUGGACUGUGAGCAGGGAUCACACCCCCUGCAGGAGGAGCGUGCAGGGCCCCAUGCUGCCGAGUGAGCCCCGGCGCUGCACGCCUCCCCGGGGUUUGCAAAGGGCUGCUGAGGCCGUGUGCCUCUCACUGCUCUGCUGUCACUGGGCACAUGAUCAUGUGACCCUGUGGUGGCUCUUAGUCCUCCCCCUUGCUGAUUACACUUGUAUGUGAUCACGAGUUGGUCACGAUGAGUUUUUAAGGCUCAUUGUCUGUUUUCAUUCACUCACCACCGUAAUCCUACAUUUUUAAGAUUCAUACAUUUACUCCUGGGUUUCAAGAAAGAAAUGACUGGAACCCAGAGAGGGAAGGAGACUUGUCCAAUAUUAUUCAUAAAGUAGGGAGCCAGGACUCGCAUGAACACAGAAGAAAGCAGUGUGGAGCCGCCGGGUCUGUGCCGGGUGCUAGCUGGGUCUGUGCUGGGUGCUGGCUGGGUAUAUGAUGAGAACCUGUCUGGGUGUGUGCUGGGUGCUAGCCGGGUGUGUGCUGGGUUGUAGCUGGGUAUGUGCCGGGUGCUGGCUGGAUGUGUGCUUGAUGCUGCCUGGGUGUGUGCUGGGUGCUGGCCAGGUGUGUGCUGGGCACCUGGCUGGGUGUGUGCUGGGUGCUGGCUGGGUGUGUGCUGGGUUGUAGCUGGGUAUGUCCUGGGUGCUGGCUGGAUGUCUGCUUGAUGCUGCCUGGGUGUGUGCUGGGUGCUGGCUGGGUGUGUGCUGGGUGCUGGCUGGGCCCGUGCUGGGUACUGGCUGCUGCUGGGCGCCGAGGGGCGAGGCUGGAGGAAGCUCAGUGUUGCUGCCCGUGGGGAGCUCAGUGUGGUGGGGGCGGCGCAGAUACACACAGGUGGGGGAGGUGCAGAAGCCUCGGAACAUUCCGGGAGGGCGAACGGCUGCCUGCCGGGCCCAGGACAGAGCCUGUGGGGGUGUGUGCACCGUGUGACACAGGAGAGGUCCGCUCAGAAAAAGAACCAUAUGGCAUUCUAGAGGAAAAAAACACACCUGCACUACUAGAACCCGCAGUAAAAACAGAAGACCAAAGCGAACCACCCAUGGGACAAGAACCACAAGAAUCAUCAUCAAGACAAUCAGAAGAAGAAUAUGAGGAACAAGAAUUGCUCAAGCAGCCAUCCUUGGGGCAAGCAUCCCAAGAACAGGUGCCCAAGGAACAAGAAUCCCUGGAACAGCCAUCCUUGGGACAAGAAGAGAUGACCCAGGGAGAAAAAAACUAA